AUGAAGAAGGUUGUGCUGAAGCUGGACGUGCACGACGACAGGCACAAGGCCAAGGCGCUCAAGGCCGUCUCCGGCCUCCACGGCAUCGACCAGCUGGGCGUGGACAUGAAGGACCAGAAGAUGACCAUCGUGGGCACCGUCGACCCCGUCGCCGUCGUCGGCAAGCUGCGCAAGCUCUUCCCCGCCGUGCACAUCGUCUCCGUCGGCCCGGCCAAGGAGGAGAAGAAGGACGACAAGAAGGAUGGCGGCGGGGACAAGAAGCCCGCCGGAGACAAGAAAGAGGGGGACAAGAAGGACGGCGACAAGAAGCAGCAGGAGGCGAAGCCGGUCAUGCAGGCGUACCCGCCCUACGGCUACGCGCAAUACGGCUACCCGCCGCCGCCGCGCUACUUCGUCCGCAGCGCCGAGGAGGACCCCAAUUCGUGCGUCAUCUGCUGA
Molecule: ribosomal RNA, 438 nt
Filed under: Triticum aestivum (bread wheat)
Lineage: Eukaryota; Viridiplantae; Streptophyta; Magnoliopsida; Poales; Poaceae
Description: partial small subunit ribosomal RNA
Source: RNAcentral